This 253-nucleotide ribosomal RNA is filed under the name uncultured bacterium. RNAcentral's name for it is "partial 16S ribosomal RNA". It matches the Rfam family "Bacterial small subunit ribosomal RNA", at positions 524 to 776 of the family's 1533-position model. The record is from RNAcentral.
UACGUAGGGGGCGAGCGUUGUCCGAAGUUACUGGGCGUAAAGCGCACGUAGGCGGCUUUGUAAGUUAGAGGUGAAAGCCCAGGGCUUAACCCUGGAAUUGCCUUUAAGACUGCAUCGCUAGAAUCGUGGAGAGGUGAGUGGAAUUCCGAGUGUAGAGGUGAAAUUCGUAGAUAUUCGGAAGAACACCAGUGGCGAAGGCGACUCACUGGACACGUAUUGACGCUGAGGUGCGAAAGCGUGGGGAGCAAACAGG